GCAGACACAUUCCAGCCAGUCAGCAGCAGACCCUCCCUCCCAGACCCUCCCACCUCCUGGACAGCAUCCAUUUUACAUUCAUUGUGAAGCUGCAUUCUUAGUGAGCUGUCCAGGAGGUGGGAGGGUCUGGGAGGGAGGGUCUGCUGCUGAUUGGCUGGAAUGUGUCUG
Molecule: non-coding RNA, 168 nt
Organism: Pelobates cultripes (western spadefoot toad)
Lineage: Eukaryota; Metazoa; Chordata; Amphibia; Anura; Pelobatidae
Source: the annotation of a GenBank genome assembly